Molecule: long non-coding RNA, 457 nt
Filed under: Homo sapiens (human)
Lineage: Eukaryota; Metazoa; Chordata; Mammalia; Primates; Hominidae
Description: non-protein coding lnc-DST-2:1
Source: RNAcentral
UGGAGACUUUGUAUCGUGUCCUGUUCUUAGUGCUUGAAUGUCCCUGAAUGUCCCAACCUGAAGCUGAAGAAGCCACCAUGACUGCACAUGGCGUCGACCAUGACUGUGUAUGCUCUGGUGCUGGUGUCUUACUUCCUCACCACUGGAGGAAUAAUUUAUGAUGUUAUUGUUGAACCUGCAAGUGUUGGCUCUAUGACUGAUGAACAUAGGCAUUAGAGGUCAGUAGCUUUCUUGGCCUACAGAGUAAAUGGACAAUAUAUUAUGGAAGGACUUGCAUCCAGCUUCCUGUUUAAAAUGGGAGGUUUACGUUUCAUAAUCCUGGACCAAUUGAAUGCACAAAAUAUCCCAAAACUCAAUAGAUUUCUUCUUCUAUUCAUUAAAUUCAUGUGUGUCCUACUGAGUUUUUUCACGGCUAGAGUUUUCAUGAGAAUGAAACUGCUGGGCUAUCUGAUGGGCU